RNAcentral lists this ribosomal RNA (372 nucleotides) under uncultured organism. RNAcentral's name for it is "bacterial SSU rRNA". It matches the Rfam family "Bacterial small subunit ribosomal RNA", at positions 526 to 896 of the family's 1533-position model. The record is from RNAcentral.
CAGAGACUGCAAGCGUUAUUCGGAUUCACUGGGCGUAAAGGGUGCGCAGGCGGCCAGGUGCGUGAGGCGUGAAAGCCCGGGGCUUAACCCCGGAAUUGCACCUCAAACUACAUGGCUAGAGCAUUGGAGAGGGUAGCAGAAUUCAUGGUGUAGCAGUGAAAUGCGUAGAUAUCAUGAGGAAUACCAGAGGCGAAGGCGGCUACCUGGACAAUUGCUGACGCUCAGGCACGAAAGCGUGGGGAGCAAAAGGGAUUAGAUACCCCUGUAGUCCACGCCCUAAACGGUGCACACUAGGUCUUGGCGGAUUCGACCCCCCCAGGGCCCAAGCUAACGCGUUAAGUGUGCCGCCUGAGGACUACGGCCGCAAGGCUA